RNAcentral lists this ribosomal RNA (428 nucleotides) under Escherichia coli. Its description in RNAcentral is "partial 23S ribosomal RNA". It matches the Rfam family "Bacterial large subunit ribosomal RNA", at positions 227 to 598 of the family's 2925-position model. Lineage: Bacteria; Pseudomonadati; Pseudomonadota; Gammaproteobacteria; Enterobacterales; Enterobacteriaceae. The record is from RNAcentral.
AAUAGUGAUUCCGUGAGUAGUGGCGAGCGAAAGCGGAAGAGGCUAAACCAUGGAUGUGUGAUAGCCGGCAGGUGUUGCAUUCGUGGGGUUGUGGGGUUCAUCUUGUCAAUGCUGCCGUGUUGGCCGACAGUAAGAAAUCAUUGUGUUAGUGGAAGUGGUCUGGAACGGCCUGUCGUAGAGGGUGAGAAUCCCGUACACGAAAAUGCGAUGACUGUCGUGAUGGAAACCCAAGUAGCACCGGGCCCGUGAAAUCUGGUGUGAAUCUGUCGGGACCACCCGAUAAGCCUGAAUACUCCCUGGUGACCGAUAGCGGACUAGUACCGUGAGGGAAAGGUGAAAAGUACCCCGGGAGGGGAGUGAAAUAGUACCUGAAACCGUGCGCUUACAAUCCGUCAAAGCCUUUGCACACUUCGGUGUGGGGGGUGAUG